GCGGAAAUAGAGAGUUUCUGUUGGUUGCUGAUAUUUAAACGAGGCUGCUUGCAGCCGAAGUGAGUGAUACCCUGCUUCCAGGAAAAGCCACUAAGCUUCAGCUACACACGACCGUACCGCAAACCGACACUGGUGCGCGAGAUGAGUAUUCUAAAGCGCUUGAGAGAACUCAGGAGAAGGAACUCGGCAAAUUGACACCGUAACUUCGGAAGAAGGUGUGCCUUUAGUAGGUGAAGUCCCUCGCGGAUGGAGCCCAAUGAGGUUGCAAAAAAUCGGUGGCUGCGACUGUUUAUUAAAAACACAGCACUCUGCAAACACGAAAGUGGACGUAUAGGGUGUGACGCCUGCCCGGUGCUGGAAGAUUAAAUGAUGGGGUGCAAGCUCUUGAUUGAAGUCCCAGUAAACGGCGGCCGUAACGAUAACGGUCCUAAGGUAGCGAAAUUCCUUGUCGGGUAAGUUCCGACCUGCACGAAUGGCGUAACGAUGGCCACACUGUCUCCUCCUGAGACUCAGCGAAGUUGAAAUGUUUGUGAUGAUGCAAUCUCCCCGCGGAAAGACGGAAAGACCCCAUGAACCUUUACUGUAGCUUUGUAUUGGACUUUGAACAGAUCUGUGUAGGAUAGGUGGGAGGCUUUGAAGCAGGGUCGCUAGAUCUUGUGGAGCCAACGUUGAAAUACCACCCUGGUGUGUUUGAGGUUCUAACCUAGGUCCAUUAUCUGGAUCGGGGACAGUGCAUGGUAGGCAGAUUGACUGGGGCGGUCUCCUCCCAAAGUGUAACGGAGGAGUUCGAAGGUACGCUAGGUACGGUCGGACAUCGUGCUAAUAGUGCAAUGGCAUAAGCGUGCUUAACUGCGAGACUGACAAGUCGAGCAGAUGCGAAAGCAGGACAUAGUGAUCCGGUGGUUCUGUAUGGAAGGGCCAUCGCUCAACGGAUAAAAGGUACUCUGGGGAUAACAGGCUGAUACCGCCCAAGAGUUCAUAUCGACGGCGGUGUUUGGCACCUCGAUGUCGGCUCAUCUCAUCCUGGGGCUGUAGCCGGUCCCAAGGGUAUGGCUGUUCGCCAUUUAAAGAGGUACGUGAGCUGGGUUUAAAACGUCGUGAGACAGUUUGGUCCCUAUCUUCCGUGGGCGCUGCAGAUUUGAGGAAGCCUGCUCCUAGUACGAGAGGACCGGAGUGGACACACCUCUGGUGUAUCGGUUGUCACGCCAGUGGCAUUGCCGAGUAGCUAAGUGUGGAAGAGAUAACCGCUGAAAGCAUCUAAGCGGGAAACUCGUUUCAAGAUGAGAUCUGCCGGGGCCUUGAGCCCCCUGAAGAGUCGUUCAAGACCAGGACGUUGAUAGGUCGGGUGUGGAAGCGCAGUAAUGCGUUAAGCUAACCGAUACUAAUUGCUCGUGCGACUUGACCAA
Molecule: ribosomal RNA, 1406 nt
Filed under: metagenome
Description: bacterial LSU rRNA
Rfam family: Bacterial large subunit ribosomal RNA
Source: RNAcentral